Molecule: small nuclear RNA, 107 nt
Organism: Jaculus jaculus (lesser Egyptian jerboa)
Lineage: Eukaryota; Metazoa; Chordata; Mammalia; Rodentia; Dipodidae
Source: Ensembl
GUGCUCACUUCGGCAGCACACAUACUAAAAUUGGGACGAUACAGAGAGGAUUAGCAUGGGCCCUGCACAAGGGUAACACGCAAAUUCAUGAAGCAUUCCAUAUGUUU